This 357-nucleotide unclassified non-coding RNA is filed under the name soil metagenome. RNAcentral describes it as "partial contains 5.8S ribosomal RNA, internal transcribed spacer 2, and large subunit ribosomal RNA". The stretch from base 1 to 119 matches the Rfam family "5.8S ribosomal RNA", at positions 35 to 154 of the family's 154-position model. The record is from RNAcentral.
GAUGAAGAACGUAGCGAAAUGCGAUACGUAAUGUGAAUUGCAAAUUCAGUGAAUCAUCGAAUCUUUGAACGCACAUUGCGCCCGCCAGUAUUCUGGCGGGCAUGCCUGUCCGAGCGUCAUUUCAACCCUCGAACCCCUCCGGGGGGUCGGCGUUGGGGACCUCGGGAGCCCCUAAGACGGGAUCCCGGCCCCGAAAUACAGUGGCGGUCUCGCCGCAGCCUCUCCUGCGCAGUAGUUUGCACAACUCGCACCGGGAGCGCGGCGCGUCCACGUCCGUAAAACACCCAACUUCUGAAAUGUUGACCUCGGAUCAGGUAGGAAUACCCGCUGAACUUAAGCAUAUCAAUAAGCGGAGGA